This is a non-coding RNA of Carica papaya (papaya), 655 nucleotides long. The record is from RefSeq and is a predicted model, not a curated record. NCBI's taxonomy places the organism in Eukaryota, Viridiplantae, Streptophyta, Magnoliopsida, Brassicales, Caricaceae.
AACAUAAUUGAAGCUAUCUAAUGGAUUAAGCUAAUUUCGUUAAUGGUCCCAUUUACAGGGAUCAAAUUAUUAAGAUUCCUCAUAGCAAUAUAGUCCCAUAUAGUGCUUUUCAGUUGCUUGUGUAUAUUGUUCUCUGAAGCAAGUGUUAAAUAUCUUUCCCAUAUCUAUGCUUGUAAAAGCAUGUAUUUUGAUCUUGGAAAAUAAAAUAUUUGCAGGAUGAAGUAAACAGGCUCAUUGAUGUGACACUUGGAGAACGAGAAAGGGAGAUUAUACGCCUUUAUUAUGGUCUAGAUAAGGAUUGUCUUACAUGGGAGGACAUUAGUAAACGCAUAGGUCUGUCCAGAGAAAGAGUAAGGCAAGUGGGACUUGUGGCGCUAGAGAAACUAAAGCAUGCUGCAAGGAGGAGAAAAAUGGAGGCGAUGCUAGUCAAACAUUGAUUUUUGUAUAUUUCACUGUCAACAGGACUGUAUAUAUAUACAGAUGAGGAAAUACUAUAUCACCCAUUUCUUUUCCCCGCCUGUAAUGACACUAUACAAGCUCAAGAAAGAGCCAGUGAGCCUCAUCUUUCUGUAACCAAAGUGAUUUUAAGAGCUUGUAAGUUGGAGGACAAAUUUAUUAUGAUGUAUAAAAGAGCAUACAGGUUAUGAUUUCAUCU